CGUUCCCGGGUCUUGUACGCACCGCCCGUCACACCACGAAAGUCGGCAACACCCGAAGCCGGUGGCCUAACCCGCAAGGGAGGGAGCCGUCGAAGGUGGGGCUGGCGAUUGGGGUG
Molecule: ribosomal RNA, 116 nt
Filed under: uncultured bacterium
Lineage: Bacteria
Description: partial 16S ribosomal RNA
Rfam family: Bacterial small subunit ribosomal RNA
Source: RNAcentral